Molecule: long non-coding RNA, 1526 nt
Organism: Oncorhynchus gorbuscha (pink salmon)
Lineage: Eukaryota; Metazoa; Chordata; Actinopteri; Salmoniformes; Salmonidae
Exons: 6
Source: RefSeq, a predicted model, not a curated record
UGGAGCUAGAUGAAUUUGUCGUCAUUACGCUAAUUUUAUCAUCGAUUAAACAUUUGAUCUCAAUACAGUUCUGUUUCCAAAACUAGAAUGGGUUACGAACAGAGUGGACAAAGUGUUGUAGACUUUACCAUUUGCUAAAGUUUAAAAAAACUGGUGUUUAGAAGGAGUGCAUAGGCAAAUAGUUAUUACACACGUGCACUUCACAGUGUAGGCGUUCUCUCCUUGCCCGUUACAUUGGACAACGACAAGCUGUGGUCUAUCUUGGGUUAGUUAAAAAAAUCUCUGGAGCGAAUCCCGGGGAUCUCGGCCUGGUCGGGUGUUUGUUGUAGUAUAUCUCUCCUGUCUGAAGAAGAAGAACUCUUCGUCCAGUUUGAGACACAGAAAGCUGUGACGGCCUGUAUGCAGAUGAAGAGCCGUGGUUCUCAGUCUGGUCCUGGGGACUCAAAGGGGUGUACAUGUUUGUUUUUUGCCUUAGCUUCAAGUGAUAUCUUGCAACUGGAGAUUCCAUCAAAACGAUUGCCUACAGUUACCGUGUAGGGCACUGCACGGUUGGGUGACCAGGACCAUCUGAGACUGCCUCGUGGGGGAAUUCUUCCAUUUACUUAGCUAUGUCAACUGCAGUUAUUCAAAUCCCAUUUUCUUGCCCUUCGACUGUACAAAAACAGGCUCUUUUAAGAGUCACCCAUAUUGGAAAAAUAUAGAACAAUUAGACACCCUACAACCCACACCUACAUUGUAUCAAUCUGAUUGAUGUAUUGUGUUGUUCAGUAAGCAGGAUCAGGUGUAUAGAUGUGGCUCCUUCUACUUUCAGAGAAUAGGCAAGAGGACCAACCAUGGAGAAUGAACCAUGAAUUAUAACCAUGCUGCAAUUUGGUCCGCCUCCUUCGACGGAAGAAUCCCUUGACGUCGGCUGUAUCUGUGACCCUCUCCCGCUUCUGAACUGCCUGACACAUAGAGAGCACAGCAUGAUCAGAGGUAUCUUUUGAUGUGAGAGGAUGACAACUCCCAACCCUCGGGCCAAUUGGGGGCCCAAUGCUUGAGUAGGAGAUAGCGCUAGAGACACUAUUAUGUCAUUGUGAUGACCUUAGAGACUAUGGAGUUUAGUUGCACUGCAUUUCAUUCAUCAUUAUGCUGUCUUCUCUGUUCUUAUCGCUUUCCCUUUCUGUCUUUUACACUAUUUCUCAUAUCUCUCUCCCCACCUCCCCUUUCUUCCUCUGUUUUUAUGAUGCACACCAGAUGUGCAUUGAAAUACAGAUUGAACUUGUUUUUAUAAUAUUACAAUUAUAGUAUUCAUAAUGUAUGUAUUUAUAUCACUUGGAUAAUGAACUUCUUUCAGUAAAGCUUUUCACAUUCUCCACUGGAAUUGGUUCAUAUUCUUUAAUGGUUGAAAUCAAGUCUCUCAUUUGAUGAAAUACUACACCUAUCAUUUGUCCUCAGAUCGGUGCAGAUGAAUUUAAUUAGAUAUUGAGAUUAACCUGUUUUAGAGAAUUUACAUGGUGCAUAGGAAGUGUACUGUUUAAAAAAAA